UACGUAGGUGGCGAGCGUUGUCCGGAUUUACCGGGCGUAAAGGGAGCGUAGGCGGGCUUUUAAGUGAGAUGUGAAAUACUCGGGCUCAACUUGAGUGCUGCAUUUCAAACUGGAAGUCUAGAGUGCAGGAGAGGAGAAUGGAAUUCCUAGUGUAGCGGUGAAAUGCGUAGAGAUUAGGAAGAACACCAGUGGCGAAGGCGAUUCUCUGGACUGUAACUGACGCUGAGGCUCGAAAGCGUGGGGAGCAAACAGG
RNAcentral lists this ribosomal RNA (253 nucleotides) under uncultured bacterium. RNAcentral's name for it is "partial 16S ribosomal RNA". It matches the Rfam family "Bacterial small subunit ribosomal RNA", at positions 524 to 776 of the family's 1533-position model. The record is from RNAcentral.